AUGUUAGGUUUAUAUUCUAAAAGUUUUAUUCUUGCUUAAAUAUUCACUUUUUCUUUGUAUUAUAUGUAAGUUUUGUUAUACUGAAUGUUCUUUAUAGCAGUAAUUUGAUUUAAUUAUCAAGUGAUUUUGGAAUUAGCAACUGAUCUAGUAUCGGCAUAUUUCGUGCCAGCAGCCGCGGUUAUACGAUUGAUACAAGUGAAUAUUAUUGGUUUAAACAGUUAUUUAUAUUUUUAGAGUUAAAUUUUGAAUUAAUAAGGUGAAAUUUAGAAUUUUAUUGUGACUCUUUUUAUGAAUCUGUGAAACUUAAAUAAUAAACUAGGAUUAGAUACCCUAUUAUUUUAAGUGUUAAUUUAAUUUACCAGGGUAUUGUUAGUUAAGAUCUUUAAACCCAAAGAAUUUGGCGGUAUCUCAUUCCAUUCAGAGGAACCUACCCCGUGAUUGAUAGUACACGAUUAACUUUACUUAAUUUAUUUGUUUGUAUAUCUCCGUUAUCAGAAAAUCUUUUUAGAGUUAUAAUUUUCUUGAUUCAAGAUUAUGGAAUAUUUCAGGUCAAGGUGCAGCUUAUAAUUAAGAGGAGGUGGGUUACAAUAGAUUAUUGUUUAUUACGGAUUUGAUGAUGAAAAUUGUUAAUGAAGGUGGAUUUGAUUGUAAUUUAAUUUUAUUUUAUUUAACUGAUAUUGGCUCUGAGGUGUGUACACAUCGCCCGUCGCUCUCAUUAUUGAAUUUUUUACUUUAAGGUUUAAUAAUUAAUGGGUAUAUUCAAAUUAGAUGAGAUAAGUCGUAACAUAGUAGAUGUACUGGAAAGUGUAUCUAGGAAGAGGUU
Molecule: non-coding RNA, 823 nt
Filed under: Shirakiacris shirakii
Lineage: Eukaryota; Metazoa; Arthropoda; Insecta; Orthoptera; Acrididae
Description: small subunit ribosomal RNA
Rfam family: Microsporidia small subunit ribosomal RNA
Source: RNAcentral